This 439-nucleotide ribosomal RNA is filed under the name uncultured bacterium. Its description in RNAcentral is "partial 16S ribosomal RNA". It matches the Rfam family "Bacterial small subunit ribosomal RNA", at positions 339 to 795 of the family's 1533-position model. The record is from RNAcentral.
CUACGGGCUGCUGCAGUGAGGAAUAUUGCACAAUGGGGGAAACCCUGAUGCGGCAACGCCGCGUGGAGGAUGACGCAUUUCGGUGUGUAAACUCCUUUUAUCAGAGAAGAAAAUGACGGUAUCUGAUGAAUAAGCUCCGACUAACUCCGUGCCAGCAGCCGCGGUAAUACGGAGGGAGCAAGCGUUAUUCGGAAUCACUGGGCGUAAAGGACGCGUAGGCGGGUUUUUAAGUCAGGUGUGAAAUCCUAUGGCUCAACCAUAGAACUGCACUUGAAACUGGGGACCUAGAGUAUGGAAGGGGCAGGUGGAAUUAGUGGUGUAGGGGUAAAAUCCGUAGAUAUCACUAGGAAUACCGAAAGCGAAGGCGACCUGCUGGGACAUUACUGACGCUGAGGCGUGAAAGCGUGGGGAGCAAACAGGAUUAGAUACCCCUGUAGUC